GCUUACGGCCAUACCAGCCUGAAUACGCCCGAUCUCGUCUGAUCUCGGAAGCUAAGCAGGGUCGGGCCUGGUUAGUACUUGGAUGGGAGACCGCCUGGGAAUACCAGGUGCUGUAUGCU
This 119-nucleotide ribosomal RNA is filed under the name Amphiprion percula (orange clownfish). The record is from RNAcentral. Lineage: Eukaryota; Metazoa; Chordata; Actinopteri; Pomacentridae.